Molecule: ribosomal RNA, 1132 nt
Filed under: Epidapus gracilis
Lineage: Eukaryota; Metazoa; Arthropoda; Insecta; Diptera; Sciaridae
Description: eukaryotic LSU rRNA
Rfam family: Eukaryotic large subunit ribosomal RNA
Source: RNAcentral
GUGUGCGAGUCAUUGGGUAUAUUGUUGAAACCUAAGGGCGUAAUUAAAAUAACUAUUUUAUGGGAUUACAAGUGAAUUAAUUUUCAUUUCUUCAUCCCGGGGCGUUCUAUACGAACAUGGUUUAAGCAAUUGAACCCUCUGUUCAAGAGCGUACCUUGAGCAUACAUGCUGUGACCCGAAAGAUGGUGAACUAUACCUGAUCAGAUCGAAGCCAGGAGAAAUUCUGGUGGAGGAUCGAAACAGUUCUGACGUGCAAAUCGAUUGUCAGAAUUGGGUAUAGGGGCGAAAGACCAAUCGAACCAUCUAGUAGCUGGUUCCCUCCGAAGUUUCCCUCAGGAUAGCUGGCGCAAAGAAUUAUAUUAUAUAUAAUCUUAUCUGGUAAAGCGAAUGAUUAGAGGCCUUGGGGCCGAAACGACCUCAACCUAUUCUCAAACUUUAAAUGGGUAAGAACCUCAUCUUUCUUGAUCUGAAGAUAUUGGGGUUUAGAUAUAUUGUGCCCAGUGGGCCACUUUUGGUAAGCAGAACUGGCGCUGUGGGAUGAACCAAACAUGAUGUUACGGCGCCUAAAUUAAUGACUCAUAUUGAUACCAUGAAAGGCGUUGGUUGCUUAAAACAGCAGGACGGUGGACAUGGAAGUCGUAAUCCGCUAAGGAGUGUGUAACAACUCACCUGCCGAAGCAACUAGCCCUUAAAAUGGAUGGCGCUCAAGUCAUAUGCCUAUACAUCAUCGCUAGAAUAAAAAUUGUUGACUUUCGGGUCAUCAUUAUGAAAUUCUAGUGAGUAGGAGGGUACAAUGGUGUGCGCAGAAGUGUUUGGCGUGAGCCUGCAUGAAGCCGCCAUUGGCACAGAUCUUGGUGGUAGUAGCAAAUAAUCGAAUGAGAUCUUGGAGGACUGAAGUGGAGAAGGGUUUCGUGUGAACAGUGGUUGAUCACGAGUUAGUCGGUCCUAAGCUUUAUGCGAAAGCUGUUUAAUUUAUGUUACACACAAUACAAUUUAACAAAAUUUAUUUUAUGUUGUACAUAAUUCAAUAAAAGCGAAAGGGAAUACGGUUCCAAUUCCGUAACCUGUUGAGUAUACGUUUGUUUAUUAAAAAUGGGUCUUAUUACACUCAUCCUGGCAACAGGAACGACCA